AUUGAACGCUGGCGGCAGGCCUAACACAUGCAAGUCGAGCGGAUGAAGGGAGCUUGCUCCUGGAUUCAGCGGCGGACGGGUGAGUAAUGCCUAGGAAUCUGCCUGGUAGUGGGGGAUAACGUCCGGAAACGGGCGCUAAUACCGCAUACGUCCUGAGGGAGAAAGUGGGGGAUCUUCGGACCUCAGGCUAUCGGAUGAGCCUAGGUCGGAUUAGCUAGUUGGUGGGGUAAAGGCCUACCAAGGCGACGAUCCGUAACUGGUCUGAGAGGAUGAUCAGUCACACUGGAACUGAGACACGGUCCAGACUCCUACGGGAGGCAGCAGUGGGGAAUAUUGGACAAUGGGCGAAAGCCUGAUCCAGCCAUGCCGCGUGUGUGAAGAAGGUCUUCGGAUUGUAAAGCACUUUAAGUUGGGAGGAAGGGCAGUAAGUUAAUACCUUGCUGUUUUGACGUUACCAACAGAAUAAGCACCGGCUAACUUCGUG
Molecule: ribosomal RNA, 484 nt
Filed under: uncultured bacterium
Lineage: Bacteria
Description: partial 16S ribosomal RNA
Rfam family: Bacterial small subunit ribosomal RNA
Source: RNAcentral